AGAUUAAGUUAUUAAGGGCGCACGGUGGAUGCCUUGGCACUAGAAGCCGAAGAAGGACGUUACUAACGACGAUAUGCUUUGGGUAGCUGUAAGUAAGCGUUGAUCCAGAGAUUUCCGAAUGGGGGAACCCAACAUGAGUGAUGUCAUGUUAUCGACAUGUGAAUUCAUAGCAUGUCAGAAGGCAGACCCGGAGAACUGAAACAUCUUAGUACCCGGAGGAAGAGAAAGAAAAAUCGAUUCCCUGAGUAGCGGCGAGCGAAACGGGAAGAGCCCAAACCAACAAGCUUGCUUGUUGGGGUUGUAGGACACUCUAUACGGAGUUACAAAAGAACAUGUUAGACGAAUCAUCUGGAAAGAUGAAUCAAAGAAGGUAAUAAUCCUGUAGUCGAAAACAUAUUCUCUCUUGAGUGGAUCCUGAGUACGACGGAGCACGUGAAAUUCCGUCGGAAUCUAGGAGGACCAUCUCCUAAGGCUAAAUACUCUCUAGUGACCGAUAGUGAACCAGUACCGUGAGGGAAAGGUGAAAAGUACCCCGGAAGGGGAGUGAAAGAGAACUUGAAACCGUGUGCUUACAAGUAGUCAGAGCCCGUUAAUGGGUGAUGGCGUGCCUUUUGUAGAAUGAACCGGCGAGUUACGAUCUGAUGCAAGGUUAAGCAGCAAAUGUGGAGCCGUAGCGAAAGCGAGUCUGAAUAGGGCGUUGAGUAUUUGGUCGUAGACCCGAAACCAGGUGAUCUACCCUUGGUCAGGUUGAAGUUCAGGUAACACUGAAUGGAGGACCGAACCGACUUACGUUGAAAAGUGAGCGGAUGAACUGAGGGUAGCGGAGAAAUUCCAAUCGAACUUGGAGAUAGCUGGUUCUCUCCGAAAUAGCUUUAGGGCUAGCCUCAAGUGAUGAUUAUUGGAGGUAGAGCACUGUUUGGACGAGGGGCCCCUCUCGGGUUACCGAAUUCAGACAAACUCCGAAUGCCAAUCAAUUUAACUUGGGAGUCAGAACAUGGGUGAUAAGGUCCGUGUUCGAAAGGGAAACAGCCCAGACCACCAGCUAAGGUCCCAAAAUAUAUGUUAAGUGGAAAAGGAUGUGGCGUUGCCCAGACAACUAGGAUGUUGGCUUAGAAGCAGCCAUCAUUUAAAGAGUGCGUAAUAGCUCACUAGUCGAGUGACACUGCGCCGAAAAUGUACCGGGGCUAAACAUAUUACCGAAGCUGUGGAUUGUCCGUAGGACAAUGGUAGGAGAGCGUUCUAAGGGCGUUGAAGCAUGAUCGCAAGGACAUGUGGAGCGCUUAGAAGUGAGAAUGCCGGUGUGAGUAGCGAAAGACGGGUGAGAAUCCCGUCCACCGAUUGACUAAGGUUUCCAGAGGAAGGCUCGUCCGCUCUGGGUUAGUCGGGUCCUAAGCUGAGGCCGACAGGCGUAGGCGAUGGAUAACAGGUUGAUAUUCCUGUACCACCUAGUAUCGUUUUAAUCGAUGGGGGGACGCAGUAGGAUAGGCGAAGCGUGCUGUUGGAGUGCACGUCCAAGCAGUAAGGCUGAGUGUUAGGCAAAUCCGGCACUCGUAAGGCUGAGCUGUGAUGGGGAGAGGAAAUUGUUUCCUCGAGUCGUUGAUUUCACACUGCCGAGAAAAGCCUCUAGAUAGAUAACAGGUGCCCGUACCGCAAACCGACACAGGUAGUCAAGAUGAGAAUUCUAAGGUGAGCGAGCGAACUCUCGUUAAGGAACUCGGCAAAAUGACCCCGUAACUUCGGGAGAAGGGGUGCUCUUUAGGGUUCACGCCCAGAAGAGCCGCAGUGAAUAGGCCCAAGCGACUGUUUAUCAAAAACACAGGUCUCUGCUAAACCGUAAGGUGAUGUAUAGGGGCUGACGCCUGCCCGGUGCUGGAAGGUUA
RNAcentral lists this ribosomal RNA (1880 nucleotides) under Staphylococcus caprae. RNAcentral's name for it is "partial 23S ribosomal RNA". It matches the Rfam family "Bacterial large subunit ribosomal RNA", at positions 1 to 1879 of the family's 2925-position model. Lineage: Bacteria; Bacillati; Bacillota; Bacilli; Caryophanales; Staphylococcaceae. The record is from RNAcentral.